UUAAAUUUAGUAAUUUACAACAUGCAUUAAAUUCUUAACUCAUGUAAAAUAACAAGUUCUUAUAUUUUCUUAGAUAUUAUUAGUGAAGUAAUUCACUAUAAAGAUUAUGAUCAGAAAUCUCAUAAGAAAUCAAUAAACAUUGAUGUGAUGGAUCUAGAGUAAGCUCUUUCAAUUAAAUUAAAUAUUCAUAUGUAAAAGCACAAAAUUAACGAUUAAUACACUAGAAAAAAAUAGUUCUUAUUAUGACAGAAAAAUUAUGACAAUUUGUCCGAGUGUCACUAAUCUAAAUUAUUGAUGACAUUUACGACCGCCGCAGAUUAAUUAUGACAAUUACAAUCGUCACAUUUAUAGAAAAAAGGAAGCAAAUAUUAAAGGACAACUCUAAAAUGAUGUACUAAUUGCCCACCUAAACCUUAUUUUCGAUUAUACCCCAAAAGAAUUUGUGAAAAAUUUGGAAUAUUAGUCUCUGCUCAAAUUCUUUAAAUUUCACAUGCUCUUCAUCAAUUAAUAAAUUUCACAUACUCUUCUUCAUACUCAUCUUCACAAAGUGGAAUCUUAUUCUCUCCAAGGCUUGAAAUCUCAACCUUCAAGAUUUGAAAUCUCAACCAUUAUCAUCUUCUCAACACAGCUCAGUCACGAUUAAUCUACAUUUAACGGAAUUUCACUUUUGUGAGUAGACAGUGUUAAUUACAAUUAACCGAAGAACUUGAAGUUGCUUGCUGUUCCAUUGUGUCAGGUUCACGAGAACCACAAGUGCUGAAAGUGGAAGUGAAGGUUCAUCUGAUGCUUGCGAUGACAACAAUCUAUAGACUUUAAACAUGGACCAAGGCAAUUACAAUGGAUCAUGUGGUUGAAGAAAUUAGGCAUUUUUUGAUUGUUAGGAGUAUAAUAUUGACUUUAACAUGAUAAGUUUUACCUUUGAUGUAUAUUGACUUGGUGGUUGUAGAUGAAAAAUUACUUCGUCAUUUUGAAUUCUAAAUUGCAAUUUAGAA
Amaranthus tricolor (Joseph's coat) is the source of this 992-nucleotide long non-coding RNA. RefSeq lists it as uncharacterized. The record is from RefSeq and is a predicted model, not a curated record. NCBI's taxonomy places the organism in Eukaryota, Viridiplantae, Streptophyta, Magnoliopsida, Caryophyllales, Amaranthaceae. The transcript has 4 exons.